CCGAGCGAGGCGGGGCCCGGGGGGGGGGGAGGGAGGCCCCAAGGCGCGGCCCAGGGCUCCCGGGCUCUCCCUGGCCGAGGGCCAACUUCCAUUUCCGGGAAGGCCCGGACCUUCCGCGGGCAAGGGAGACGUGGCUGGGGCACAGCUGCCUCCGGGGCCGUGGCCCGUGCACCGCGGGGCCUGCGGCUGCAAGCGCUCCUCAGUGCUUGUCACUUCUCCGGGCCGCGGGCGGAAAGCCGCCCGCCAGGCCCCGGUUAGCCAGGCCCCGGUUAGCCAGGCCCCGGUUAGCCAGGCCCCGGUUAGCCAGGCCCCGGUUAGCCAGGCCCCGGUUAGCCAGGCCCCGGUUAGCCAGGCCAAAGGCUCGUCCGGAACCAGGCCCACCCCGAGCCGCCGGGCCCGCCCCUCAACCGCGUCGUUCCCUUCAUGACCCGGCGUGAGCCUGCUUUCCCGCCGAUUCCCCCAAACUCUGCUUCACUCCCCGCGAAGUCCGGACUUCUCCGUCUCGCGUCUGGCCUCGGCGUUUUAAUCAGACUCCUCCCCCCCAAGUGGGCAGGUGAAAGAGAAGAUUCUUUCCUCAAUUGGUACCUAGCCUUAAUCACUGAAUAAGUGUGGCCGCAGUCCUGUUGAAGAUCUUCAUUUAAGAAUGUCAAGGUCUCCCACUGCAUCCAGGGCCAUCUCCAGUCAUCCUGAUCUCUAUCUGGCCACUGGACCAGUGGAUGACCCAGAGUUUUUUGCUAGACCUGUACUUACAACCAUCACAUUUUGUGGUUCUUCUACCUCAAAAGCCUAUCAAGACCUCAGGAGGAAGUCUCUUUUACUGAACCUGGAAGAAUAAGAAUUCUGAAAUGAUAGCUAGUAAUUCUGUAAUGUUUUAAGAUUUGCAAAGUUCUUUAUAAAAUACCAUCUCAUGUGA
This is a long non-coding RNA of Sarcophilus harrisii (Tasmanian devil), 913 nucleotides long. RefSeq lists it as uncharacterized. NCBI's taxonomy places the organism in Eukaryota, Metazoa, Chordata, Mammalia, Dasyuromorphia, Dasyuridae. The record is from RefSeq and is a predicted model, not a curated record. The transcript has 3 exons.